GAUGAACGCUGGCGGCGUGCCUAAUACAUGCAAGUCGAGCGGAAACACUUCGGGUGUCGAGCGGCGGACGGGUGAGUAACGCGUGGAUACAUACCCCAGACUGAGGGAUAAGCACCGGAAACGGUGUCUAAUACCGCAUAUGGUCUUCGGAUUAAAGCUUCGGCGGUUUGGGAAUGGUCUGCGUCAGAUUAGCUAGUUGGUAAGGUAAUGGCUUACCAAGGCAAUGAUCUGUAGCUGGUUUGAGAGGAUGAUCAGCCACACUGGAACUGAGACACGGUCCAGACUCCUACGGGAGGCAGCAGUAGGGAAUCUUCCACAAUGGACGAAAGUCUGAUGGAGCAACGCCGCGUGCAGGAUGAAUGCCUUCGGGUUGUAAACUGCUUUUGUGAGUGAAGAAUAUGACGGUAACUCACGAAUAAGGAUCUGCUAACUACGUGCCAGCCGCCGCCGUAACAC
RNAcentral lists this ribosomal RNA (456 nucleotides) under uncultured bacterium. RNAcentral's name for it is "bacterial SSU rRNA". It matches the Rfam family "Bacterial small subunit ribosomal RNA", at positions 28 to 526 of the family's 1533-position model. The record is from RNAcentral.